Molecule: long non-coding RNA, 562 nt
Filed under: Musa acuminata (dwarf banana)
Lineage: Eukaryota; Viridiplantae; Streptophyta; Magnoliopsida; Zingiberales; Musaceae
Description: long non-coding RNA (MACU_LNC002922)
Source: RNAcentral
UCGUCGCCUUCCCUUCCCCGCGCCGAUCGGUCUUCUCCUCCGGUGAGUCCCAGUCCUCGUCAUCGACCCAUGUCCGGACCCGGUUACUGCUGCAAUUCCCCAUUCUUCUUCUUCGUCGUCGUCCUCCUCGUCGAAGAAAGACUGCAAUGAGUAGUGGUCAUAAUGAGUUGCAUGUCAUGAUAUAUAUAUGGACGGGAAGAGCAGCAAGUUUUAGGAUAAGAACGAGUCAGAGUCAACAACAUUCACGCAGACGUGCCAUUAACUUGAUGCUUUUACCAGUUAUUAUAUACUGUGGCGGAACCAUUCAGCGAACCUUUCAUCCGUGUCAGGAAUUGGUCCGUCGUCAUACGGCAUCUGUGAGUUCAAAUAGCGACUCUCCAAGAAAGAGGUUGAGGCCGCGACGGCAGGAUUCAUUGACCUGCACAAAGUAAUUAGCUCGGUAAGCAUUGGGGAACGUGAGAGGCAGCUUCCAUUUACUUGGAUUUGUUCUGUACUAACUGCGUCUGCCUUUCGGGUUGCAGUCGGCGUGGAAGGAGGUCGCCGGAGCAGCAGAGGGGCUCGA